UACGAAGGGUGCAAGCGUUAUUCGGAAUUAUUGGGCGUAAAGGGCGCGUAGGCGGCUAGAUGUGUCAAAGGUGAAAUCCCUCGGCUCAACUGAGGAACUGCCUUUGAAACUGUCUGGCUUGAGGCCGGGAGAGGGUAGCGGAAUUCCCAGUGUAGCGGUGAAAUGCGUAGAUAUUGGGAGGAACACCAGUGGCGAAGGCGGCUACCUGGACCGGUUCUGAUGCUGAGGCGCGAAAGCGUGGGUAGCAAACAGG
Molecule: ribosomal RNA, 253 nt
Filed under: uncultured bacterium
Lineage: Bacteria
Description: partial 16S ribosomal RNA
Rfam family: Bacterial small subunit ribosomal RNA
Source: RNAcentral